RNAcentral lists this ribosomal RNA (425 nucleotides) under uncultured bacterium. RNAcentral's name for it is "bacterial SSU rRNA". It matches the Rfam family "Bacterial small subunit ribosomal RNA", at positions 356 to 773 of the family's 1533-position model. The record is from RNAcentral.
GGGGAAUAUUGCACAAUGGGCGCAAGCCUGAUGCAGCCAUGCCGCGUGUAUGAAGAAGGCCUUCGGGUUGUAAAGUACUUUCAGCGGGGAGGAAGGCGGUGAGGUUAAUAACCUUGCCGAUUGACGUUACCCGCAGAAGAAGCACCGGCUAACUCCGUGCCAGCAGCCGCGGUAAUACGGAGGGUGCAAGCGUUAAUCGGAAUUACUGGGCGUAAAGCGCACGCAGGCGGUCUGUUAAGUCAGAUGUGAAAUCCCCGGGCUUAACCUGGGAACUGCAUUUGAAACUGGCAGGCUUGAGUCUCGUAGAGGGGGGUAGAAUUCCAGGUGUAGCGGUGAAAUGCGUAGAGAUCUGGAGGAAUACCGGUGGCGAAGGCGGCCCCCUGGACGAAGACUGACGCUCAGGUGCGAAAGCGUGGGGAGCAAAC